This 2831-nucleotide ribosomal RNA is filed under the name Roseovarius lutimaris. RNAcentral's name for it is "bacterial LSU rRNA". It matches the Rfam family "Bacterial large subunit ribosomal RNA". The record is from RNAcentral. Lineage: Bacteria; Pseudomonadati; Pseudomonadota; Alphaproteobacteria; Rhodobacterales; Roseobacteraceae.
AAAUCAAGCGCGAAAAGGGCGUUUGGUGAAUGCCUUGGCAGUAAGAGGCGAUGAAAGACGUGAUACUCUGCGAUAAGCCAUGAGGAGCUGAGAAUAAGCUUUGAUCCAUGGAUUUCUGAAUGGGGCAACCCACCUGACAGUUUGUUAUUGUUUGCUUUUGCAAUCAAUAACGAGCUGAAACAGGUACUUAUAGACUGAAUACAUAGGUUUAUAAGAGCAAACCCGGAGAACUGAAACAUCUAAGUACCCGGAGGAAAGGACAUCAAUAUGAUACUCCCCUAGUAGCGGCGAGCGAACGGGGACCAGCCGAGCCAUGAUUGUGAAUAGAACGUGUUGGGAAGCACGGCCAUAGUGGGUGAUAGCCCCGUAUAUGAAGCAUGAUUGGACGUAUUAAGUAGGGCGGAACACGUGAAAUUCUGUCUGAAGAUCGGAGGACCACCUUCGAAGGCUAAGUACUCCUUACUGACCGAUAGUGAACCAGUACCGUGAGGGAAAGGUGAAAAGCACCCCGACGAGGGGAGUGAAACAGUACCUGAAACCGAACGCCUACAAUCAGUCGGAGCUUCCUUGUGAAGUGACGGCGUACCUUUUGUAUAAUGGGUCAUCGACUUGGUCUAUCUAGCAAGCUUAAGCCGUUAGGUGUAGGCGCAGCGAAAGCGAGUCUUAAUAGGGCGCAUGAGUUAGAUGGAUCAGACCCGAAACCGAGUGAUCUAGGCAUGACCAGGAUGAAGGUUAGGUAACACUAACUGGAGGUCCGAACCCACACCUGUUGAAAAAGGUCGGGAUGAGUUGUGCCUAGGGGUGAAAGGCCAAUCAAACUCGGAGAUAGCUGGUUCUCUGCGAAAUCUAUUUAGGUAGAGCGUCAUCCGAAUACCCUCGGGGGUAGAGCACUGGAUGGGUAAUGGGGCCCCACAGGCUUACUGAUCCUAACCAAACUCCGAAUACCGAGGAGUACUAGAUGGCAGACAGACUGCGAAUGCUAACGUCCGUAGUCGAGAGGGAAACAACCCUGACCUACAGCUAAGGCCCCCAAUUCAUGGCUAAGUGGGAAAGCAGGUGGGACGACCAAAACAACCAGGAGGUUGGCUUAGAAGCAGCCAUCCUUUAAAGAUAGCGUAACAGCUCACUGGUCUAAAUAAGUUGUCCUGCGGCGAAGAUGUAACGGGGCUCAAGCCAUGAGCCGAAGCUUAGGAUGCCGUAAGGCAUGGUAGCAGAGCGUAGUGUGACAUAGUUCCAUGUCUCUUUAGCGACUUCGGUCGUUACGGAGACACGGAGCUUUCGAUGAAGCCGGGGCGUGAGCCAUCCGGUGGAGAGAUCACUAGUGAGAAUGAUGACAUGAGUAGCGACAAAGAGUGUGAGAGACACUCUCGCCGAAAGUCCAAGGGUUCCUGCUUAAAGCUAAUCUGAGCAGGGUAAGCCGACCCCUAAGGCGAGGCCGAAAGGCGUAGUCGAUGGGAACCAGGUUAAUAUUCCUGGGCCAGGAAGAAGUGACGGAUCAGAGAGGUAGUUCAUCCUUAUCGGAUUGGAUGGGCUGCUGACUGGUCCCUGGAAAUAGCUCUUCCGCUAGAUCGUACCCUAAACCAACACAGGUGGACUGGUAGAGAAUACCAAGGCGCUUGAGAGAACUAUGUUGAAGGAACUCGGCAAAAUACCUCCGUAAGUUCGCGAGAAGGAGGCCCGGUUUCUAGGCAACUAGAGGCUGGGGGCACAAACCAGGGGGUGGCGACUGUUUACUAAAAACACAGGGCUCUGCGAAGUCGCAAGACGACGUAUAGGGUCUGACGCCUGCCCGGUGCCUGAAGGUUAAAAGGAGGGGUGAGAGCUCUGAAUUGAAGCCCAGGUAAACGGCGGCCGUAACUAUAACGGUCCUAAGGUAGCGAAAUUCCUUGUCGGGUAAGUUCCGACCUGCACGAAUGGCGUAACGACUUCCCCGCUGUCUCCAACAUAGACUCAGCGAAAUUGAAUUACCUGUCAAGAUGCAGGUUUCCCGCGGUUAGACGGAAAGACCCCGUGCACCUUUACUACAGCUUCGCACUGGCAUCAGGAUUGUGAUGUGCAGGAUAGGUGGUGGGCUUUGAAGCAGGAACGCUAGUUUCUGUGGAGCCUCCCUUGAGAUACCACCCUUCGCACUCUUGAUGUCUAACCGCGGUCCGUUAUCCGGAUCCGGGACCCUGCGUGGCGGGUAGUUUGACUGGGGCGGUCGCCUCCUAAAGCGUAACGGAGGCGCGCGAAGGUUGGCUCAGAGCGGUCGGAAAUCGCUCGUUGAGUGCAAUGGCAGAAGCCAGCCUGACUGCGAGACUGACAAGUCGAGCAGAGUCGAAAGACGGCCAUAGUGAUCCGGUGGUCCCAAGUGGGAGGGCCAUCGCUCAACGGAUAAAAGGUACGCCGGGGAUAACAGGCUGAUACUGCCCAAGAGUCCAUAUCGACGGCAGUGUUUGGCACCUCGAUGUCGGCUCAUCUCAUCCUGGGGCUGGAGCAGGUCCCAAGGGUACGGCUGUUCGCCGUUUAAAGAGGUACGUGAGCUGGGUUUAGAACGUCGUGAGACAGUUCGGUCCCUAUCUGCCGUGGGUGUAGGAUACUUGAGAGGAGUUGCCCCUAGUACGAGAGGACCGGGGUGAACGAACCACUGGUGGACCUGUUGUGGCGCCAGCCGCAGUGCAGGGUAGCUAUGUUCGGACAGGAUAACCGCUGAAGGCAUCUAAGCGGGAAGCCCCCCUCAAAACAAGGUAUCCCUGAGAGCCGUGGUAGACCACCACGUCGAUAGGCCAGAGAUGUAAGCACAGUAAUGUGUUCAGUUGACUGGUACUAAUUGCUCGAUAGGCUUGAUUUGA